AGGAUGAACGACUGGCGGCGUGCUUAACAACACUGCAAGUCGAACGGAGAUUAUACGCAGAGGUCGAUUUCGGUCAAUCAGUGUGUAAUCUUAGUGGCGGACGGGUGAGUAACGCGUGGGUAACCUGCCUUACACUGGGGGAUAACACUUAGAAAUAGGUGCUAAUACCGCAUAAGCGCACGAAGCCGCAUGGAUUUGUGUGAAAAACUCCGGUGGUGUAAGAUGGACCCGCGUCUGAUUAGCUUGUUGCGGGGUAACGGCCCACCAAGGCGACGAUCAGUAGCCGGCCUGAGAGGGUGGACGGCCACAUUGGGACUGAGACACGGCCCAAACUCCUACGGGAGGCAGCAGUGGGGGAUAUUGGACAAUGGGGGGGAACCCUGAUCCAGCGACGCCGCGUGAGUGAAGAAGUAUUUCGGUAUGUAAAGCUCUGUCAGCAGGGAAGAAAGAAAUGACGGUACCUGACCAAGAAGCCCCGGCUAACUACGUG
This 490-nucleotide ribosomal RNA is filed under the name uncultured Lachnospiraceae bacterium. Its description in RNAcentral is "bacterial SSU rRNA". It matches the Rfam family "Bacterial small subunit ribosomal RNA", at positions 26 to 507 of the family's 1533-position model. The record is from RNAcentral. Lineage: Bacteria; Bacillati; Bacillota; Clostridia; Lachnospirales; Lachnospiraceae.